AUUGAACGCUGGCGGAAUGCUUUACACAUGCAAGUCGAACGGCAGCACGGGGGCAACCCUGGUGGCGCGUGGCGAACGGGUGAGUAAUACAUCGGAACGUGCCCGGUCGUGGGGGAUAACGUAGCGACAGUUACGCUAAUACCGCAUACGAUCUGAGGAUGAACGCGGGGGACCUUCGGGCCUCGCGCGAUCGGCGCGGCCGAUGUCAGAUUAGGUAGUUGGUGGGGUAAAGGCCUACCAAGCCGACGAUCUGUAGCUGGUCUGAGAGGACGACCAGCCACACUGGGACUGAGACACGGCCCAGACUCCUACGGGAGGCAGCAGUGGGGAAUUUUGGACAAAGGGCGCAAGCCUGAUCCAGCCAUUCCGCGUGCAGGACGAAGGCCUUCGGGUUGUAAACUGCUUUUGUAUGGAACGAAAAGGCUCUGGCUAAUACCUGGGGCUCAUGACGGUACCGUAAGAAUAAGCACCGGCUAACUACGUG
This 484-nucleotide ribosomal RNA is filed under the name uncultured bacterium. RNAcentral's name for it is "partial 16S ribosomal RNA". It matches the Rfam family "Bacterial small subunit ribosomal RNA", at positions 30 to 507 of the family's 1533-position model. The record is from RNAcentral.